Molecule: ribosomal RNA, 301 nt
Filed under: uncultured bacterium
Lineage: Bacteria
Description: partial 16S ribosomal RNA
Rfam family: Bacterial small subunit ribosomal RNA
Source: RNAcentral
CAGUAGCCGCGGUAAUACGUAGGGUGCGAGCGUUAAUCGGAAUUACUGGGCGUAAAGCGUGCGCAGGCGGUAAUGUAAGACAGAUGUGAAAUCCCCGGGCUCAACCUGGGAACUGCAUUUGUGACUGCAUUGCUGGAGUGCGGCAGAGGGGGAUGGAAUUCCGCGUGUAGCAGUGACAUGCGUAGAUAUGCGGAGGAACACCGAUGGCGAAGGCAAUCCCCUGGGCCUGCACUGACGCUCAUGCACGAAAGCGUGGGGAGCAAACAGGAUUAGAUACCCCCGUAGUCCCUGUCUCUUAUAC